AUUGAACGCUGGCGGCAGGCCUAGCACAUGCAAGUCGAGCGGAUGAAGGGAGCUUGCUCCUGGAUUCAGCGGCGGACGGGUGAGUAAUGCCUGGGAAUCUGCCUGGUAGUGGGGGAUAACGUCCGGAAACGGGCGCUAAUACCGCAUACGUCCUGAGGGAGAAAGUGGGGGAUCUUCGGACCUCACGCUAUCAGAUGAGCCUAGGUCGGAUUAGCUAGUUGGUGGGGUAAAGGCCUACCAAGGCGACGAUCCGUAACUGGUCUGAGAGGAUGAUCAGUCACACUGGAACUGAGACACGGUCCAGACUCCUACGGGAGGCAGCAGUGGGGAAUAUUGGACAAUGGGCGAAAGCCUGAUCCAGCCAUGCCGCGUGUGUGAAGAAGGUCUUCGGAUUGUAAAGCACUUUAAGUUGGGAGGAAGGGCAGUAAGUUAAUACCUUGCUGUUUUGACGUUACCAACAGAAUAAGCACCGGCUAACUUCGUG
RNAcentral lists this ribosomal RNA (484 nucleotides) under uncultured bacterium. Its description in RNAcentral is "partial 16S ribosomal RNA". It matches the Rfam family "Bacterial small subunit ribosomal RNA", at positions 30 to 507 of the family's 1533-position model. The record is from RNAcentral.